Long non-coding RNA from Notolabrus celidotus (New Zealand spotty), 510 nucleotides. RefSeq lists it as uncharacterized. NCBI's taxonomy places the organism in Eukaryota, Metazoa, Chordata, Actinopteri, Labriformes, Labridae. The record is from RefSeq and is a predicted model, not a curated record. The transcript has 3 exons.
GAUGAUAAACAAAGAAUGACAACAGGCGAGUGGGACAACAAAACAAAGGUCACUGGAUGGAUUUCUUCAGUAAGAAGAGUGGUGCUGGAUUUUUGGAGGGAGUUGGUGGGGCCCAGCAGAGGAGAGUGAAAAAGUAAGGUGAUCAAGUGAUUACUGACACCUGUGGCCUGUGUGUGGGAGAGGGAGAACAAAGAGGAGGCUCAUUUUGCAGAAGAGUGAAGUGGAAGCAGGCAGGAGGAGAGUGGAUCAGGAGAACGCCUCACCUUAUUGGGACUUCUCUAAGAAGGACACUUUUUGACUUGUGGCACUACCAUACCACUUCAUCCCUUUCAUCAGCAACAAUCCUCAUGAACUCAAACUCCAUACUCACACCUAAGGAACAGACCAGAGGUCCUCGUCCAGCAUGAUUUCCCUAAUGGCCCCCUGAAACUGCAAGUCCUGCUCACUUUCUCCCUCUGCUCUCUCUCUUUUCACGUCCCUACACCCAUACACCAACAUCAAAUGUUAAAA